GAUGAAGAACGUAGCGAAAUGCGAUAAGUAAUGUGAAUUGCAGAAUUCAGUGAAUCAUCGAAUCUUUGAACGCACAUUGCGCCCGCCAGUAUUCUGGCGGGCAUGCCUGUUCGAGCGUCAUUUCAACCCUCAAGCCCAGCUUGGUGUUGGGGAUCGGCACAGGCGCCCUCGGGCGCCCGCCGUCCCCUAAAUCUAGUGGCGGUCCCGCUGCAGCCUCCUCUGCGUAGUAGUUUUCUCCUCGCAAGGGUAGCUCGGUGGCGACCUCGCCGUAAAACCCCCAACUUCUGAAAGGUUGACCUCGAAUCAGGUAGGAAUACCCGCUGAACUUAAGCAUAUCAAUAACGGAGGA
Molecule: unclassified non-coding RNA, 349 nt
Filed under: soil metagenome
Description: partial contains 5.8S ribosomal RNA, internal transcribed spacer 2, and large subunit ribosomal RNA
Rfam family: 5.8S ribosomal RNA (bases 1-120)
Source: RNAcentral